GAAAUGCGAUAAGUAAUGUGAAUUGCAGAAUUCAGUGAAUCAUCGAAUCUUUGAACGCACAUUGCGCCCGCCAGCCAUUCUGGCGGGCAUGCCUGUCCGAGCGUCAUUUCAACCAUCAAGCCCCGUGCUUGUGUUGGGGAGCUGCGGGCCCUCCGGGGCGCGCAGGCCCUGAAAUGCAGUGGCGGGCUCGCUGACGCACCGAGCGUAGUAGCAUAAUUCUCGCUCUGGGCGUGCUGCGGGUACCGGCCGUGAAACGACCGCUCGAGAGAGAGGACACCCAAAGGUUGACCUCGGAUCAGGUAGGAAUACCCGCUGAACUUAAGC
This 324-nucleotide unclassified non-coding RNA is filed under the name plant metagenome. RNAcentral's name for it is "partial contains 5.8S ribosomal RNA, internal transcribed spacer 2, and large subunit ribosomal RNA". The stretch from base 1 to 106 matches the Rfam family "5.8S ribosomal RNA", at positions 50 to 154 of the family's 154-position model. The record is from RNAcentral.